UGGCUCAGGACGAACGCUGGCGGCGUGCCGUAACACAUGCAAGUCGAACGGAGUUGACCUUCGGGGUCAACGUUAGUGGCGAACGGGUGAGUAACGCGUGAGAAACCUGCCUUUCAGUGGGGGACAACAGUUGGAAACGACUGCUAAUACCGCAUAAUGUAUUUGGGGCAUCCCUGAAUAACCAAAGAUUUAUUGCUGAAAGAUGGUCUCGCGUCUGAUUAGCUAGUUGGUGAGGUAACGGCUCACCAAGGCGACGAUCAGUAGCCGGUCUGAGAGGAUGAACGGCCACAUUGGGACUGAGAUACGGCCCAGACUCCUACGGGAGGCAGCAGUGGGGAAUAUUGGGCAAUGGGGGAAACCCUGACCCAGCAACGCCGCGUGAAGGAAGAAGGCCUUCGGGUUGUAAACUUCUUUUACCAGGGACGAAGAACGUGACGGUACCUGGAGAAAAAGCAACGGCUAACUACGUG
This 470-nucleotide ribosomal RNA is filed under the name uncultured bacterium. RNAcentral's name for it is "bacterial SSU rRNA". It matches the Rfam family "Bacterial small subunit ribosomal RNA", at positions 20 to 507 of the family's 1533-position model. The record is from RNAcentral.